Molecule: long non-coding RNA, 1911 nt
Organism: Mauremys reevesii (Reeves's turtle)
Lineage: Eukaryota; Metazoa; Chordata; Testudines; Geoemydidae
Exons: 4
Source: RefSeq, a predicted model, not a curated record
AGGGCCAUUAAGAGCAGCACGGCCCUGCUGAGAUUUGCAGUCACCCUCCCCGAGUUUGACAUCUCAGCAGAGUUCCCUAGGCUGGGUCAGCACGUGGCCCAGCUGGCUCUGUUUGUGAGUUACCCAGACCAGGACAUCAGCCGGCAGGCCAGGGAGGGGACUUACCGGCUGUACCAGCUGCUGCUCGAACAGAGGGGGCUGAGCAUACACGAGGUGGAGGAUCUGUGGUGCCACAACUGGUACCAGGACAGCAGGCUCCUGGGCUAUCAAAACACAGCCAGGGUGGGGAGGUAAGGACACUGUGGCAGGGUAGGACACAGCUCAGGAGUGGGGCUGGCUGGGGUCCCUGCAGUGGAUGCCUCCUGGAGACAGGACAAGAGCCCACUCCUUAUUUCCAGCUCAGAGUUCCUCACCCAGCACCCAGUGGGACAGGCUGGUGCUAAAGGUCCCACAUUGGAACCUCGCUAGUUGCUGUGAUUUGAGUGUCUUCCAUGGAGCCGUUGCUACGUGGCAUAAGGCGAAUCCCCGGGUGGGUGAGUUAAUAGAGGAUUAUGGCUCUGGGUGUCUCUCUGCUCCUUGUCCCCUUGGCUGAUCCCCAAGUGUCUGAGAGAAGAGCACUGGGUCCGUCAGUCACUAGUGCUUGAGCAGACCCUUGUUUACUUCCCUGCACCCUGUAGAAGCAGAGAAAGGAGGUGGGGUUUGCCCAAGUCCAUUGCCAGUCAGGAAGCAGAAUGCCCCAAGCCGAGAACUGGGGAGGGGACACAGUGAGCUCCAGAGCCAAUAUGCACCACAUGCGCCUCCUCAUGUCUCCAGUCCCGGCCAGGGAAUGGCAGAGUAUCUGGACCUCAGCCACUGUGCCAAAGAAGCACAUUGUCACUGACCCAAGUUGCGACUACUUGCUGCACAAGUAGAAAAUCAAAGACCUCCCGGCCCCCUGUCUCACAACUGUGCUGAGAACAUCCAAACCUUGGAACACACCAUAACCCAGUGCCCCCAGAUUGGAGUCAAAGGUGAAAUGUGUGAUUUUGAUAACAUCACAGAGGAGGCCUUGGAAUGGCUCCUGGAUCUCCAAGUGCAUCUACAGAAUGCUGCCCUAUAGAUGCCACGUGAGAGAGACUCUGUGAGCUUGUCCUGCCUCCCACAAGCUGAAUUGCUGCAGCAGAAGAAAAGUUUCCUAGGAGUGUCUGUGAUGGGGACUGGGACAUGAGUCUCCUUAUCCUGGUCAGGUUGCAGAUUGGAUUCCCUUUGGCAGAAACCAAGGAGCUGCCGAGGCCAUAGCCAGCUACUAGAGAAAUCACUAAUUUGGGGGCAAUAGACCUUUGGUCUGUCAGCUCCAACCCCUUUCCCCCCCCCCACGCACACUCCUCUAGCCACUGAGGUGCAGGAGAUCUCUCUGCUGGAAGCAAUACAGGGUCCCCUAUCAUCUCGGUGCGCUGCACAGCAGAGUGGGCCCUGCUCACCCACAUUAGAGAUCUAUUUCCAGCCCAUCAUGGCCCCUGCGAUCAAUUGCCCUCCAGAAAGAGCCACUGGAGGCUUUGGUCCCUAAGCAUCUGCCACCUUUUCAUAAAGGGGCUUCCCUGAGCCAUGGGACCCUGAAAGCCUCCUGGGGAAUGAACGGCCUUGGCUACAGCAGCUCUCUUACCCUUCCUUUGGGGCACCGGACACUGAGGCCAUUCUAUCUCCAGGGCUUGGAGGCUGGCUCUGGGCAAUCUGCUACAGCCUCCUGUCCUGUUGGUUUUAGGUCUUUGGAAAAUUCUUCUCUGCGGGGCAGAGGAAAUGCUUCCUCAAGACAGCCGUGCCAGCGAUCUACAACCCCCUGCUGUGCAUUAGCCAGGCUGGGCUUCUCCUCACGUACGCCAUCCUGGGGGAAGUCGAGCAACUGCUGGGUUACACGCUGGAGGACACCACCGC